This 587-nucleotide ribosomal RNA is filed under the name uncultured bacterium. Its description in RNAcentral is "partial 16S ribosomal RNA". It matches the Rfam family "Bacterial small subunit ribosomal RNA", at positions 355 to 1375 of the family's 1533-position model. The record is from RNAcentral.
UGGGGAAUUUUGGACAAUGGGCGAAAGCCUGAUCCAGCAAUGCCGCGUGUGUGAAGAAGGCCUUCGGGUUGUAAAGCACUUUUGUCCGGAAAGAAAUCCUUGGCUCUAAUACAGUCGGGGGAUGACGGUACCGGAAGAAUAAGCACCGGCUAACUACGUGCCAGCAGCCGCGGUAAUACGUAGGGUGCAAGCGUUAAUCGGAAUUACUGGGCGUAAAGCGUGCGCAGGCGGUUUGCUAAGACCGAUGUGAAAUCCCCGGGCUCAACCUGGGAACUGCAUUGGUGACUGGCAGGCUAGAGUAUGGCAGAGGGGGGUAGAAUUCCACGUGUAGCAGUGAAAUGCGUAGAGAUGUGGAGGAAUACCGAUGGCGAAGGCAGCCCCCUGGGCCAAUACUGACGCUCAUGCACGAAAGCGUGGGGGAGCAAAACAGGAUUAGAUACCCUGGUAGUCCACGCCCUAAACGAUGUCAACUAGUUGUUGGGGAUUCAUUUCCUUAGUAACGUAGCUAACGCGUGAAGUUGACCGCCUGGGGAGUACGGUCGCAAGAUUAAAACUCAAAGGAAUUGACGGGGUCAUAGCUGUUUCCU